Lolium rigidum is the source of this 1880-nucleotide long non-coding RNA. RefSeq lists it as uncharacterized. The transcript is spliced from 6 exons. The record is from RefSeq and is a predicted model, not a curated record. Lineage: Eukaryota; Viridiplantae; Streptophyta; Magnoliopsida; Poales; Poaceae.
CGGGAGGGAUUCCAUGGCGCCACCAUCAUCCUCGUCCUCCGCGAGGACGCCAAUCCGAGAUCUGGUUAUCUAUGCCAACAAGGUGUUUGACAAAAGUCCAAGAAGGUUAUUCACUGUUUUGGUUUCUUGAUUGGAAGUAUGAAGAGGUUCUUGGAUUAAAGAAGAUUGUCUGCUCAUUUUUGGUCCAUACAUGCGGCUCGACUGCAUAAUGGUUUGAAACGUGCCUACUGGAUUAUGACGACCCUGCUUCAAAUUCUGGUCAUCGGACAUAUGGAGCUGGUCCUUCCUUGCCGAGGUUUUGGUCUGAUCAAAAAGGACAUGAAUUGAACCAUAAGCGAGCAGGCUGAGCAUUUUACAUGACCUCCAAGCUAUACCAGAUCACAAUGGUUUGGAUCCUUGAGUUUCUACCAUUGACUUCAAUCUAUAUCUUUAUUCCCUAGGUUGGACUCGAUGUAGACUAUCAUGGUCACCAAUUAUUGGAUAUGAUUGUUAUGUGGGAUUGUUGGCAGAGAUGAACAAGAAAUAAGGUGAUGUCACCAGAACUAUAUUAGUAAAAACUAGGCCUUUUCUUACAUAUGUUUUAUGUGUGUAAAUGCCCCCUCAGUUCUUGCUUGUUCUGCCUAAGUUUGUCUUGAUAUUGGUAAACAAACUAUUCAUGUGAUGUUGGUUUGUUCAGCUGUACAUUUGCGGUGAGCAGUUAGUUCAGGUCACUAUGCUUAAAAUAUUAGUUCAUGCUAUUGCCCUUAAAAAGAUUAGCGGCCGGGGGCGACGAUGUUGAGGUGGUGCUCUCGUCCUCCUCCGCUCCUCUACCUAACUCAGGAUCUGGCAGAGCAGUAGCUAGCGGUGGUGAAGUCCAGUGGAGGAUCUCCUCCUCCACCACUCCCUUUUUCACUGGGCAGGGGAGCGGAAGAGGGCAGAGCCACAAGCCGCCAAAGACGGAUUCCAUGGUGCCACCAUCUUCUUCGUCCUCGCAUCAGAGACAGAGCGUACUGAGGAUAACAGGAGGAAAGUGGGUCAUUACUGCACGAGAUGGCAUGGCGGCGUGCCGGCCGGCCGGCCGCAGAUCCCGCACGAGUGAUUUUUCUCACGGUUGAUCUUGGAAAUGUGGUGUACUCCAUGUCCGCCCACAUCGUCGUCAGUCCUUGCAUCAAGGAGGAGAGCGUGUGCUUGAUUUGAUCCAUGAUUUAUAUUGGAUGAAAAGUUCGUGGAAGUCACAGGAUGGAUCAGCUAGCUGCAAGAAGGUGCAUGUUUCUCCUGUAUUUUGCUUUUGUUUCUAUCUAAUGGUGUUGUGAAUCUGGCAUGGCCAUAACAUACUAUGUUCAAUAACAGUCAGCCGAUGUCCAGUUACCACUCAUAGACAUAUGAUAUUAUUAAUUAUUUACCUUGCUUGUGGAAAUUUACACCACUGAUGGCAAAUGGAACCACUUCGGUAGAUGUUGGCGGAAUAGACAACCAUUUUUGUGCAUUGUUUUGGUAGUAAGCUUGCAUAGAAUAGUGUAGGUUCGAUGUGGUUGUGAAAUAUUUUUUCCAAUUUUGAAUUUUGUUCCUUCCCGUUAUCAUAUGGGAUUACUGCCGGAUGCUCUUUUCAGAUGGUCUUCUUGUGUUUUAUUAGAUGGGGCAGCGAUUUUCUUCAGAUGAUAUUAUAGGUUAGUGAAUUGUGGUAUUCAAAUUCCGGUCUCUCCUUGAGAUAUUGGGCUAAUGGAUUAUUUUGUAGCAUUAUUAAUUGUUUGAGCUGACUAUGGAAGCUGAGAUAACAGUUUCAUAAAGUUAUAAAAAUUAUCUCUAUUAUGUAAGCUAUAUCGAGGUAUUUUUAUUAUGUAAGCUUUCUCAUCAUUGGUUCUCUGCAUAAUGUAUACAUGGGACUAUGGAAGCGUGAUGAA